RNAcentral lists this ribosomal RNA (492 nucleotides) under uncultured bacterium. Its description in RNAcentral is "partial 16S ribosomal RNA". It matches the Rfam family "Bacterial small subunit ribosomal RNA", at positions 29 to 507 of the family's 1533-position model. The record is from RNAcentral.
AGUGAACGCUGGCGGUAGGCCUAACACAUGCAAGUCGAACGGCAGCGCAGUAAGCGCUUGCUCUUACGGGUGGCGAGUGGCGGACGGGUGAGGAAUACAUCGGAAUCUACUUUUUCGUGGGGGAUAACGUAGGGAAACUUACGCUAAUACCGCAUACGACCUACGGGUGAAAGCAGGGGAUCUUCGGACCUUGCGCGAUUGAAUGAGCCGAUGUCGGAUUAGCUAGUUGGCGGGGUAAAGGCCCACCAAGGCGACGAUCCGUAGCUGGUCUGAGAGGAUGAUCAGCCACACUGGAACUGUGACACGGUCCAGACUCCUACGGGAGGCAGCAGUGGGGAAUAUUGGACAAUGGGCGCAAGCCUGAUCCAGCCAUACCGCGUGGGUGAAGAAGGCCUUCGGGUUGUAAAGCCCUUUUGUUGGGAAAGAAAAGCAGCAGGUUAAUACCCCGCUGUUCUGACGGUACCCAAAGAAUAAGCACCGGCUAACUUCGUG